Planococcus citri (citrus mealybug) is the source of this 783-nucleotide RNA transcript. It is a transcript of the gene named D-aminoacyl-tRNA deacylase, with no coding region annotated. The transcript is spliced from 5 exons. The record is from RefSeq and is a predicted model, not a curated record. Lineage: Eukaryota; Metazoa; Arthropoda; Insecta; Hemiptera; Pseudococcidae.
AUUCGUUCGUUCAUUUCGACGAUAUCAAAAUUCCUGUUCGGGAAUGUGUUCUUAUCACUGUCGUGCUUUAAAAUUGCAAUUUUUACUAAAUUUAAUUGUAAUUAUCGAAUUAUUUCAAAGUUCCAACGCCAUGAAAGCUUUAAUUCAACGUGUCGCCAACGCUAGUGUCACUGUUAAUGAAGAAGUUAUCUCAUCUAUCAACAGAGGAUUAUGUGUUCUCAUCGGUAUCCACAGAGAUGAUAAAGAAUCUGAUAUAGAAUUCAUUGUUCGAAAGCUCCUCAACUUGAGAUUAUUUGAAAGUACCGAUGGCAGUGGCCGUAAAUGGAAUUCCAAUGUUGUAGAAAAUGGUUAUGAAAUCCUAUGCGUUAGCCAGUUCACAUUAUACCAUACUUUGAAAGGAAACAAGCCUGAUUUUCAUCAUGCUAUGAGUCCAUCUGCUGCCGAACCGUUUUAUAAUCAGUUUCUCAGUUGUUUACGAACUGAAUACGAAGAAAGUAAAAUCAAAGAUGGAAAAUUCGGCGCUUUAAUGCAAGUAAAUCUAGUCAACGAUGGUCCAGUAACUCUAGAAAUCGAAUCGCCGCCAACGAAGAAUUGAACACCCGGAGACGAAUAUUAAAAAUAGAUUUUAUUAUGGUACAGUUAUGAGAAUUUACAACAUUAAUGAGAAGUCCAGAUCAGAAAGCACCUUCUAAGAAUAUCCUCAAGAAUUACGUGAACGUUUGUCGGUGUUCGUUGUUUUUAUUAAUUUUUCAUUUUAUACGAAUAAAUUAUUUUUCGAAAGGC